GCAAUAUUGCAAUUGAUGAAUUAGUAAUAGCUUAUAAAUAAGAUAUGACCUUUGUAUUUGCAAUUCAAACUCUUAUUUGUGUUGUUUCUUAUCAACUGUAUUUUUUUGGGGCAGGGGGAAGGAAAAAAUUUUCAAUUGAACUGUUUAGGCAUGAUCUUCCUUGCUUCAUGAUGAAACAACAUACAUUAUAGCUUGCUAUUGUCAAGAUGAGCAUUUGAUUGUAGGACCUAUAGGAGAUAGAAAACCACAGAAUGAGAGAGAG
This 262-nucleotide unclassified non-coding RNA is filed under the name Hevea brasiliensis (rubber tree). Lineage: Eukaryota; Viridiplantae; Streptophyta; Magnoliopsida; Malpighiales; Euphorbiaceae. The record is from RNAcentral.